Molecule: long non-coding RNA, 306 nt
Filed under: Nicotiana benthamiana
Lineage: Eukaryota; Viridiplantae; Streptophyta; Magnoliopsida; Solanales; Solanaceae
Description: long non-coding RNA (NBEN_LNC004301)
Source: RNAcentral
CUUUAUCCACUAGAGGAAGAUAAGUUGCUUUGGCCAAAAAAAAUCUAACGGGCUAGCAAGUAAAGAAAGGAUACAACAGGUAGUUAGGAAAGCUCCGCAAUUUCAAUAUCCCUUCCUCAUCCCGUAAGUCUGAGGAAAGCAAGCGUAACUCCAAACCUCAAAUAAGCCUCGGGCGAAACAUAAGACUGAUAACGGAUGGUCCCCGCCAACUGCUUAUCUCUCUUCCUCGCAUUCCAUUCAUGACCUAACGACUAUCCCUCUUUCGGGGAGGGAAUCACUUGCUGGAUCGAACCCAAGGAUAGGUUU